UUCAUUUUUACUAUCAUUUAUAGCUAUUUUUAUAUUUUAUAGCAAAGUGCAAAUAUAUAUUGAUCCCUUAACUUUUCACUCAACUAUUUCUCUCUUCCCCCUCAACUCUCCGUAUUUUUUCCUUUCUCUUCGCCCUCGACAAAGCUGCCGUCCAGUCGGUCAUCUUUUCUGGCAGAGUUCUAUUGGAGCCCAAUGAAACAACUGCCUCUCUAUUUCCCUUCCCUUUUCUCAUUUUCAUCGUUAGAUCCAGAUCUGAAACCACGAAUUCAUGAUAGGUCCAUUACCGGCAGCGAAAGCAGUGGAGGAGGAAGAUCGGUGCCGUCACUAGAUCUGGAUCCAGGAAACAUGCCGGAAUCCAUGACUUUUUCUCCUUCUUUCUAUCUCAUAUCUGAAUAUAUUUGUCUGGCCAAAUUUUGGUAGAUACAAUGUGAAACUGUAUUCUCAUAUAUGGUUGGAGUUUUAUUUGUCUCCUUUUUAUUUUUAAUAUACUGUAUACAAUAUUUUUCUUGGCCGGAAGACGCCAUCUCCGAUGAAAUUUUUUCGUUCUUAGCUCUUGAGUCACAUGCAAUGAUACAAAUGCAUUAUAUUACAUACAAAUAUAUUGUAUUAUGUAUAAAUACCCUCAAAUUUGAUUGUAUUCUGUAAAUCUCAAUGCAAAUAUAGUUUUUUUUGUUGUACUUUUUUCUAUAUUUAUGUAUUUCAAAGAUUAUUUUUGUCACGAUCUAAUUUUAUUAUAGGUUGUGAUGGCACCCAACGCCGCUGCUAGGCAAGCCAAAAGUGAAUUAACUACGUGAUUUUCCUUUUUAAUAGAUUUUCAAGU
Molecule: long non-coding RNA, 820 nt
Filed under: Nicotiana benthamiana
Lineage: Eukaryota; Viridiplantae; Streptophyta; Magnoliopsida; Solanales; Solanaceae
Description: long non-coding RNA (NBEN_LNC006311)
Source: RNAcentral